This 797-nucleotide ribosomal RNA is filed under the name Bacillus sp. (in: firmicutes). RNAcentral's name for it is "bacterial SSU rRNA". It matches the Rfam family "Bacterial small subunit ribosomal RNA", at positions 47 to 826 of the family's 1533-position model. The record is from RNAcentral. Lineage: Bacteria; Bacillati; Bacillota; Bacilli; Caryophanales; Bacillaceae.
AAUAGUACAUGCAAGUCGAGCGAACAGAAGGGAGCUUGCUCCCGGAUGUUAGCGGCGGACGGGUGAGUAACACGUGGGUAACCUGCCUGUAAGACUGGGAUAACUCCGGGAAACCGGAGCUAAUACCGGAUAGUUCCUUGAACCGCAUGGUUCAAGGAUGAAAGACGGUUUCGGCUGUCACUUACAGAUGGACCCGCGGCGCAUUAGCUAGUUGGUGGGGUAAUGGCUCACCAAGGCGACGAUGCGUAGCCGACCUGAGAGGGUGAUCGGCCACACUGGGACUGAGACACGGCCCAGACUCCUACGGGAGGCAGCAGUAGGGAAUCUUCCGCAAUGGACGAAAGUCUGACGGAGCAACGCCGCGUGAGUGAUGAAGGUUUUCGGAUCGUAAAGCUCUGUUGUUAGGGAAGAACAAGUGCGAGAGUAACUGCUCGCACCUUGACGGUACCUAACCAGAAAGCCACGGCUAACUACGUGCCAGCAGCCGCGGUAAUACGUAGGUGGCAAGCGUUGUCCGGAAUUAUUGGGCGUAAAGGGCUCGCAGGCGGUUUCUUAAGUCUGAUGUGAAAGCCCCCGGCUCAACCGGGGAGGGUCAUUGGAAACUGGGAAACUUGAGUGCAGAAGAGGAGAGUGGAAUUCCACGUGUAGCGGUGAAAUGCGUAGAGAAUGUGGAGGAACACCAGUGGCGAAGGCGACUCUCUGGUCUGUAACUGACGCUGAGGAGCGAAAGCGUGGGGAGCGAACAGGAUUAGAUACCCUGGUAGUCCACGCCGUAAACGAUGAGUGCUAAUGGGUUU